AAGGGAUGAAUCUGCCUAAAGGGAAAUUUUAAUUCAUUUCAACGUCAAAUAUAAACUGUAUAGGCUUUUGUGGGUUAGUAGUUGCUAUUUAAUAUAUUGUUUCUAUGGUAAAAUGUACUCCAGAUCAACCCAUUUUUUUCCCAUUAGAUUAUAGUUUCAUGAAGGCAGGAAACAGUUGUAUCUUCUCCAUGGUUGUAUGUUGAAAGCUUUGCACACUGCCUGGCACAGAGAAUAUGUACAACAAAAAUAUGGAAUAAUUCUCAGAAACUCACAUUUAAACAUGGGAUAAUGUGGAGGCAUCAGAGAAACAAAAACAGAAACGAAGAUAACCAUGAUACCUAAUGUUACAAGAAGAAAGCACUUGUAAUCACAAGGGUACUGAGAAAAGAAGUUAAAUGAAAAAUGGAUUGUGGAUUAUAGCCUGAGCAGAUUUGAGCCUAAAUGUAAUAUAACAGCUCGUGGCAAAUGGAGGUAGCAGGAGAGUAGAGCCAACUAGCCAAAAAUCCCCUGGAAAGGUGAAACUGAAAUCACUCAUUCAUUCAAAAAGUGUUUACUGAGUAGCUUCAAAGAGCAAAUAUUAGGUUAGAUGCAGUGGGUGAUGUAAGGAUGAUUCAGACAACUAUUUCUCAUGGACUUUGCUUACUGAGCCAUCAACACACGGCCACCUUUUUCUAGAUGAAGUAUCCCAUCAUUUGAUUCUGGAUUGAGAACUCUUUGAGAGCAGAGACCAUGGCUUCACCUGAGUAUCCCCAGAGCCUGACAUCAGACAAAAGAGUGAUAUACAAGUGAACAUCUAAUAUUGUACUUCAUUGUGGUGCUCAGUGAAGAUGCAGUUAGAGGAAAUUAAGGACACAAUGAAUUGGCAGAAACCGGAGAAUAAGUCUAUAGUCCCUUAUUUCAGUUACUUUAUUUAAAUAAAUCAACUUUCACUGAAGUUUUUUUUUUAAUAUGUAGAAGAAGCUCACAUAACUUCAGGAAAACCGCAUGAAAAGUACCCAAGAAAUUCAGUGUCCAGAUGUUUCAGAAUCCAGAUGGCCUAAGAAUCCUCUAUCACCCAGAAAGGAGGAAAAUGUGCAUGAAAGUGGAACAUUUAAAAGAAAAAAAUAAUUUAGCUUUGGCUAUGUAAUGACAACAUACAGAGCUUGAGAAAAAGCUUCUUUUCCUAAAGCAGCAACUUAAUAAAAGGCAUGUUAUAGGCUUUAUCAGUAAGCCAAAAUUUCAGCCUUGCCUCUUCUUCCCAUCACCAUUAAGAGGCUUGCAGAGGUCCACACUCCUUAAAGGGCAGACAGCAUGGAAGAACUAUCAUGUACAAUUUGAAGUAGCAGCUAAAAUUGGAAUGGUCACGAGAAAGCCUGUUUCUUUGCAAUUAAAUUGACAAGCUGUCUAUGAUUACCCUAGGGAACUUGGCAGCUGAGUGAUAAAAAGACUGCAGUGUGUUGAAAGGUCUAACGCAACUUACUAGGUAGACAAAGACCACAUCUGCUUAACAUACUGAUUGGGAGAGUUGUGGAAUGUACUUGGCUACAUUAGCUGAGGAGAGAUACUAAGGAUACUUUUUCCUCUCUAAGACCCUGUGCUUAGAACCUGUUGCAGAAACUACCCACAAAUAUUUGGAAGCAUGUAUGAAAAACAGUUUAGCACAAUAUCUGAUGUUAUUCAGCAUGAACCUACCAUUACAAAUCACCAGAAUUGAGCAGAAGUUUAGAAAGAAAUAAUAAUUAAAAAUGCCUUUAAUCUAAUUAUGUUUGUGAAAUUGUAUAUACUUGAUACAAAAAUUGGGUACUUGAGAAGAUUUAUUGUGAUAACAAUAAAUGAAAGAAAAUGCAUGAUUUAAUACAAAAUACUAGGCAAUAAUUACUUGGGAUAUUCAUCAGUGGAGAGUCCUUGAGUUGGGCAACACUGAAACUUAGGUUAUAAAGGAGAAAACAAUAACCAGCUUUGGGGUGGUAGCAAUUUGUGAAGACUAACACACCGAUUUCAGCAAUGUCUUCUUAAUUUUGUUAUAUUCCUUAAAAGGGCAAAUGCAUGUAAAAAGCAAAUGUUUCUUCUAACAGAUUUAAUAGAUACUAGUAGCACUCUACACUAAAUAAAUAGAGGAUGACCAUG
Pan troglodytes (chimpanzee) is the source of this 2106-nucleotide long non-coding RNA. RefSeq lists it as uncharacterized. The transcript is spliced from 8 exons. Lineage: Eukaryota; Metazoa; Chordata; Mammalia; Primates; Hominidae. The record is from RefSeq and is a predicted model, not a curated record.